UCCCACAAGGCAUAGUCAGCUUCUGAAGGUCGGAGACAUUUUAAGAGGGGCAAAGAGUAUGAUCUCUUGUACAGCUUGUUCUCAUAGAGGAUGUACCGGGAGGCUUGAUUUCUGAGCUUUUGAGCUUCUUUUGCAUCAUGAGGGAGGACUCCGUCCCUGAGAUAUGCCACCAGUGGGUCGAUCCAACUGGACUCAUGAUCAAUUUUCAUCAUGGGCCAUGAUUCUUCCAUACUUGGGCACUUU
RNAcentral lists this long non-coding RNA (243 nucleotides) under Elaeis guineensis (African oil palm). RNAcentral describes it as "long non-coding RNA (EGUI_LNC051378)". The record is from RNAcentral. Lineage: Eukaryota; Viridiplantae; Streptophyta; Magnoliopsida; Arecales; Arecaceae.